AUAACGGUCCUAAGGUAGCGAAAUUCCUUGUCGGGUAAGUUCCGACCUGCACGAAUGGCGUAAUGAUGGCCAGGCUGUCUCCACCCGAGACUCAGUGAAAUUGAACUCGCUGUGAAGAUGCAGUGUACCCGCGGCAAGACGGAAAGACCCCGUGAACCUUUACUACAGCUUGACACUGAACAUUGAGCCUUGAUGUGUAGGAUAGGUGGGAGGCUUUGAAGCGUGGACGCCAGUCUGCGUGGAGCCGACCUUGAAAUACCACCCUUUAAUGUUUGAUGUUCUAACCUGGCGCCAUAAUCUGGCGUGGGGACAGUGUCUGGUGGGUAGUUUGACUGGGGCGGUCUCCUCCCAAAGUGUAACGGAGGAGCACGAAGGUCAGCUAAUCCUGGUCGGACAUCAGGAGGUUAGUGCAAUGGCAUAAGCUGGCUUGACUGCGAGAGUGACGGCUCGAGCAGGUGCGAAAGCAGGUCAUAGUGAUCCGGUGGUUCUGUAUGGAAGGGCCAUCGCUCAACGGAUAAAAGGUACUCCGGGGAUAACAGGCUGAUACCGCCCAAGAGUUCAUAUCGACGGCGGUGUUUGGCACCUCGAUGUCGGCUCAUCACAUCCUGGGGCUGAAGUAGGUCCCAAGGGUAUGGCUGUUCGCCAUUUAAAGUGGUACGCGAGCUGGGUUUAGAACGUCGUGAGACAGUUCGGUCCCUAUCUGCCGUGGGCGCUGGAGAAUUGAGGGGGGCUGCUCCCAGUACGAGAGGACCGGAGUGGACGCAUCACUGGUGUUCGGGUUGUCAUGCCAAUGGCACUGCCCGGUAGCUAAAUGCGGAAGAGAUAAGUGCUGAAAGCAUCUAAGCACGAAACUUGCCCCGAGAUGAGUUCUCCCUGAGACUAUAAGUCUCCUGAAGGAACGUUGAAGACGACGACGUUGAUAGGCCGGGUGUGUAAGCGCAGCGAUGCGUUGAGCUAACCGGUACUAAUGAACCGUGAGGCUUAACCUU
Molecule: ribosomal RNA, 989 nt
Filed under: Cronobacter sakazakii ES35
Lineage: Bacteria; Pseudomonadati; Pseudomonadota; Gammaproteobacteria; Enterobacterales; Enterobacteriaceae
Description: bacterial LSU rRNA
Rfam family: Bacterial large subunit ribosomal RNA
Source: RNAcentral